This is a small nuclear RNA of Xiphophorus couchianus (Monterrey platyfish), 162 nucleotides long. Its record names the gene U1. It matches the Rfam family "U1 spliceosomal RNA". From Rfam's summary of the family: U1 is a small nuclear RNA (snRNA) component of the spliceosome (involved in pre-mRNA splicing). The record is from Ensembl. Lineage: Eukaryota; Metazoa; Chordata; Actinopteri; Cyprinodontiformes; Poeciliidae.
AUACUUACCUGGCAGGAGUGACUCCAUGGUCCUGUAGGUGGAUCACCCAGGGUGAGAUCAGCCAUUGCACUGCAGCGAUCUGACCUCUGUGAAUUCUCCACAUGGGAGAAUCUCAACUGCACAAUUUAUGGUAGUGGGGGACUGCGUUCGCGCUCUCCCCUG